GCGCUCAGGUGAGGGGGUGUCCAGCUGAGGAACGGCCUUCCCGCCCCGGGGGGAUGGCAGCGACGAGCCGGAGGGUUGGCAACUGUGCUCCGUCUAUCAUGCAAGACAGUCGGAUGCCACUCCCUGUGCUAGCAAGUAUGCCCGUAGCAGCAGGCUGUAUGCCAGCAAGAGGGAAGAUGCAUUACCCUGCCUAAACCAAAGAUAAGGCAGUGCAAAAGGACUACCCCUUUUUAGUACUACCAGUACUACUGUGAAGAAAUUGAAACGGAAAGUAGCCAGGAGAGGAUCCAGCUGGAGCUCCCCCAGUUAACACCCCUGAACAAUGAAUGAUACCGAACAAUGAUUGUUUAGCAUCAAGUCUAACAAUUGAGUUAACCACUGGAUUUUGAACUAUCUGGUAUAUUAAUUUGCUAUAACCUCUCGAUCAAAGAACCGUGCAAAACUAAAGCCUUGUGCUUUAUAGUAGUUUUAUAUGAAAAAAAAUGUAGUUAUGAAUUAAGGUCUUACUUGUCUGAAAAAGUACCAGAUUAUCUCAGCAAAAUCUACUUUCUGUAAAUCCACGUAAAUUGGCAUAAAUAACAUACUUCCUUUUACUUUGGUAUUUAUUAACACAGUCAUUUUGGGCAGCAUGCAUUUCAGGCUGUGGACUUCCAUCAGGCCCAUAUCCAGAAGAAUCCAGACAAUGUCAGGCUACAGGCUGGAUGGAAGUUCACAGCCUGAAUUGCCCAGGUUGUUCCGUAUACCUUGCAAAAUACUGUUUCAAGGUGAACUUCUUCCCUGCCCCCUAGAGAUCCCCUGGACUUCCACUUCUUCUGAAAGUGAGUUUUAGUGACUCAAAGCACUCUUCUGUCAGCUCUUGGAAAGUUCUGGGAUGAUAACAAUACACAUUUUCUGAUGUUAA
This is a long non-coding RNA of Tyto alba (common barn owl), 901 nucleotides long. RefSeq lists it as uncharacterized. The record is from RefSeq and is a predicted model, not a curated record. Lineage: Eukaryota; Metazoa; Chordata; Aves; Strigiformes; Tytonidae. The transcript is spliced from 4 exons.